GACGAACGCUGGCGGCGUGCUUAACACAUGCAAGUCGAACGGAAAGGCUCCGCCUUUCUGGGGUGCUCGAGUGGCGAACGGGUGAGUAACACGUGAGUAAUCUGCCCUUCACUUCGGGAUAAGCCUAGGAAACUGGGUCUAAUACCGGAUAGGACCUCCUUCUGCAUGGUGUUGGUUGGAGAGUUUCGGCGGUUGGGGAUGGACUCGCGGCUUAUCAGCUUGGUGGUGGGGUAGUGGCCUACCAAGGCUUUGACGGGUAGCCGGCCUGAGAGGGUGAACGGCCACAUUGGGACUGAGAUACGGCCCAGACUCCUACGGGAGGCAGCAGUGGGGAAUAUUGCACAAUGGGCGGAAGCCUGAUGCAGCGACGCCGCGUGGGGGAUGACGGCCUUCGGGUUGUAAACCGCUUUCGCCUGGGACGAAGCGUGAGUGACGGUAACGGGAGAAGAAGCACCGGCUAACUACGUG
RNAcentral lists this ribosomal RNA (468 nucleotides) under uncultured bacterium. RNAcentral's name for it is "partial 16S ribosomal RNA". It matches the Rfam family "Bacterial small subunit ribosomal RNA", at positions 28 to 507 of the family's 1533-position model. The record is from RNAcentral.